ACACUGUUCCCCCGCCUCCGCCAGGAUUUUGCAGCGGGUGUGACUCUCAGCCUGUGAUGCUGAUUCUCCCUCCCGCGAGAACUUCAGGAACGCAGGCAGGCCUUCACCGCUAGUACUGAGCAGAGCAGGGAGUGACAGUCUUCCUUCUAGGGUUUUUGUGAAAGUUAGCCCGUUAAAGGACCCGGCAGAAUCUGGCACCAUGCAAGCGCUCCCUAAAUGGUCUCUCUCAUCGUUAUACUAAACCCGCUAGUUAGAACAGGGCUGGCAAAUGAAAACGAAGUCCGAGAACCGGAAGGGUCUGCACAAAGGGGAGGGCCGCGCGCGGCACGGCUCUUUGAGGAGGGGUUUGGCGGGAGAUCCUGCACACCGUCCAAUCCACCCCCUACGGGAGAGGAAGAGGCGGAGUCAGGCCGCCCUCCCGACUCCGCACUGCUCACUCCCGCGCCGGCGUUUGAACCCGCUCGGGCUUCAAGGCUCGCUCGCCCGGACGCACCUUUCGCAGCCACAUCUUCCCCGGCGCCGGGCAGGGACGUGCCCUGCCUCCUGCAGACAUGGCCUCGAGCGCUGCCACCACGACUGUAAAGAUUGGAAUAAUUGGUGGAACAGGCUUGGAUGACCCAGAAAUUUUAGAAGGAAGAACCGAAAAAUAUGUGGAUACUCCAUUUGGCAAGCCAUCCGAUGCCUUAAUUUUGGGGAAGAUAAAAAAUGUUGAUUGUGUCCUUCUUGCAAGGCAUGGGAGGCAGCAUACCAUCAUGCCUUCCAAAGUCAACUACCAGGCAAACAUCUGGGCUCUGAAGGAGGAGGGUUGUACCCAUGUCAUAGUGACCACGGCUUGCGGCUCCUUGAGGGAGGAGGUUCAGCCUGGCGAUAUCGUCAUUAUCGAUCAGUUCAUCGACAGCUGUGAAACGUCUAAACACCUGGCCCCUUGUGAGCAAAGGAGAACAUGCAUGUCACUGACCUUGAGACAGCAGGACAGCAGACCAGGUGGGGAGGCCUGUGGUGAUUCCAGGACCACUACAAGGCCUCAGACCUUCUAUGAUGGGAGUCGUUCCUGUGCCAGAGGAGUGUGCCAUAUUCCAAUGGCUGAGCCAUUCUGCCCCAAGACGAGAGAGGUCCUUAUAGAGACUGCUAAGAAGCUAGGACUCCGGUGUCACUCAAAGGGGACAAUGAUCACAAUUGAGGGGCCUCGGUUUAGCUCCCGAGCAGAAAGCCUCAUGUUCCGCACCUGGGGGGCGGAUGUUAUCAAUAUGACUACAGUUCCAGAGGUGGUUCUUGCUAAGGAGGCUGGAAUUUGCUACGCAAGUAUCGCCAUGGCAACAGAUUAUGAUUGCUGGAAGGAGCAUGAGGAAGCGUUCCAGAAAGUGCUUUUCUUCAAGAUUCGUGUACUAAUAAGGAAGGAUGAAUUGUCAAGCGACAAGCAAGGUUUCAGUGGACAGGGUCUUAAAAACCCUGAAAGAAAAUGCCAAUAAAGCCACAAGUGUACUCCUCACUACCAUACCUCAGAUAGGGUCCAUGGAAUGGUCAGAAACCCUCCAUAACCUGAAGAACAUGGCCCAGUUUUCGGUUUUACUACCGAGACAUUAAAAUAGCAUGGCUGCCCAGGAGAAAAGAAGACUUUAUAAUUCCAGUCACUUCAGGAAUUCCUACUGAAUUUGAAAAAACAUGGAAAAUACACGCAGCUUUCGUGCCCUUGCCUGCUUGGGAAGAAUGUGAGAAGAAAGACAAGAAAUUGCACAUGUUAGAGAUUCUUUCUACAAGACUUGGGCUAGUUCAAAAGACAAGCAAAUGACCAGUAAACAUGCAGAAAAAAUCCUUACAUUUUACAAAAAAGACAAGGAGAUACCAACCCCCUCCCUUUAUUAGAUUUCCAACAGUAAAGGGAAGUGGUAACAUCUAGUUUUCCAUGCUGCCAAGGUAUAUAAAGAAGAAGUGGGACUCUUGGGCCAUUUACUGAUGUGGCUGUAAAUUGGUACAAUUUUUCUGGAGAGCAGUUUGAUAAAACAUAUUGAGAUGCUUUAAAAAAUGUACUGUUUGAGCUGGUUAUUCGUAGGAAUUUAUCUUCAAAAUUAUCAGAGAUGCAUACAAAGAAUUUUGUAUAAAAAAGGAUGUCCGAUGUAGUGUUGGUUAUAAUAGCAGAAAAAUUAAAACAAUCUUGAAUUUCCAACAAUUGAAGGUAAGUUAUGGGUUAGCUGCAAUUGGAUUUUGAAGCAGCCAACUGAAGAUCAAGUUUUCACGUAAUAUUUAGGUCCUAAAGAAAUGGUUGCUCUAUUAACACAAAGUGAAUAAAGGAUACAUAAGCACUGACAGUAGUAACUUUGUUUUAAAAUUCUAUGUAAGUAUAAAAAAACUAGAAAGAAAUAUAAUCUUUUAUCCUAUUUAGAGGAAGGAUACUGGAUAGUUUUUAUUUCCAUUGUAUUUUUCUGUAUCUUCACAUUUUUCUACAAUGAAUAUAAUCAAAUAGUAAAGUUGUUUGCUUUAAAAAUCAAAAUGGACUUGGAGAGAUCCAGUUCUUUAAAACACAACGUGUCUGCUAAUGACAAGAGAUUUAAGACCACCAUGCUAGGAAGAAUUCUGUUUAAGGAAGCAACAUCUUUAUUCCAUUGAAAAAGAGGAUUGUUAAUGGUUACAGAGAAUAUUUAGAUUUGCCAUGACUUCCUAAGAAAGACUGGGUGUUUAAUACUGAAAAACCAAAAAAAAAAAAAUUGCUGAACCCAUUGCCAUCGAGUUGAUUCCAACUCAUGGCUACCCUGUAGAACAGAGUAGAACUGUCCCUCAGGGUUUCCAAGGAGUGGCUGGUGGAUUUGAACUGCCAACCUUUUGGUUAGUGGCUGAGCUCCUAACCACUGUACCAUCAGAGCUGAGUUAGUCUAAAAGCUAUUAUUUAAGAGACUAUAUAUAUAUAUAUAUAUAUAUAUAUACACACACAUUAUAGUGUGUCAAGUAUUUUUAAAAUUAAUAUUGAACUCUUUGUUUCUACUCCUUGUGUGAGUUGAUGAAUUAAUUUACAUAGGUUGGUGAUUUUUGUUUUUUAAUAAAGAAAAAAAGGAAGUGGAAACUUCUGUGUUUAUUAUUAAGUUUUUAAGAAUGCUUUUUGGUUUUGUUCUUGAAAGUUUUCUAUUACAAGGAGAUUCCCCUUCCACCCCUGGAGUACUACAUUUCUUUUCACUGGUCUAUUACAGGGUAUUUUAGUGAUGUAUCUUUUGCCUAGUUAAAAAAAAUCUGUAAAGUCAAUGUAUUUGUAUUUAUGAUUUUGCCUUGAAGAUAAGAAGCUGCUAAUAGUUAACAAUAAAAUAACCAGUUAUCUCCCUGCUUUAAUAUUGAACUGUUCGGGUUACAUGUGAUUAUGUGAUUAACCCACUGCCGUCGAGUCGAUAGGACAGAGUGGAACUACCCGAUAGAGUUUCCAAGGAGUGCCUGGCGGAUUCAAACUGCCAACCUCUUGGUUAACAGCCAUAGCACUUAACCACUACGCCACCAGGGAUUACGACCCUUGAAUUCCCUGAAGUGAUGGCUUUCAGCUCUAGCUGCACAUUAAGUUCCAUGAAGGACCUGACAGCUCAGAACUCAGAGUUCUCAGGCCCUGCAACCUGUAAUUGUUUUCACUGCUCUCUAAUAUAUACUAUAGGAGCCCUCACGGUGCAGUGGCUAAGCUCUGGGCUGCUAACUGAAAGGUUUGCAGUUCGAACCCACCAGCCACUCCAUGGGAGAAAGAUGUGGCAGUCUGCUUCUGUAAAGAUUACAGCCUUGGAAACCCUAUGGAGCAGUUCUACUCUGUAACACAUGGGUAGGCAUGAGUUGGGGGCCCAUCCAACGGCAGCGAACAAACAACCUUCCCUUUUAGUGGGUAUCUGAGAAUGUCAAGGCGAAAAUGUGAAUUUUUUUUUUUUUUUUGCCUUCAGAAAGUACAGUUCUCUCCAACUUACGGAGGUGUUUUUGUUUGUAAGGCUCAUUCAUUCUGUACAAAGUCGAUGUGUUUUUUCCGAGACCUCCAUUCUUGAGUACUUUGCUGACCAUGUCCUCCCUAAACACAUUCACUUCUAUGAUGCUUAACUUUUUGUUUGUUUGUUCGUUUUCUUAGCUGCUAAAUUAACACCACGGUCAGUUUGAGCAUUUCAGAGCUUUCCCAGUGGAUUGCGGGCAUAGUGAGAAAUCUAGGAAAGCUUUGACUUGGAGACUUAGUUCCUUGGAAAAGGGCUGAGUUAUUAAUUAAUGGAUUUGCAUCUAAUCAAAGGAAAAUAUUCAUUGACAUGAUACGCUGCUGUUCUGUUUGUUAAUUGGUUUUUGUGAUUUGGAGGAUGACAGCAAAAAUUGUUAGUAUGCAGUGUUAACCAAAAAAAAAAGAA
Molecule: RNA transcript, 4343 nt
Organism: Loxodonta africana (African savanna elephant)
Lineage: Eukaryota; Metazoa; Chordata; Mammalia; Proboscidea; Elephantidae
Gene: MTAP
Gene name: methylthioadenosine phosphorylase
Exons: 10
Source: RefSeq, a predicted model, not a curated record